This 253-nucleotide ribosomal RNA is filed under the name uncultured bacterium. RNAcentral's name for it is "partial 16S ribosomal RNA". It matches the Rfam family "Bacterial small subunit ribosomal RNA", at positions 524 to 776 of the family's 1533-position model. The record is from RNAcentral.
UACGUAGGGAGCGAGCGUUGUCCGGAAUUACUGGGCGUAAAGGGCGCGUAGGCGGGAACUUAAGUUAGAUGUGAAAACUCCGGGCUUAACCUGGAGACUGCAUUUAAAGCUGGGUUUCUUGAGGGCAGGAGAGGAAAGUGGAAUUCCUAGUGUAGCGGUGAAAUGCGUAGAUAUUAGGAGGAACACCAGUGGCGAAGGCGACUUUCUGGACUGUACCUGACGCUGAGGCGCGAAAGCAUGGGGAGCGAACAGG